RNAcentral lists this ribosomal RNA (901 nucleotides) under Cephalotrichum dendrocephalum. Its description in RNAcentral is "LSU rRNA". It matches the Rfam family "Eukaryotic large subunit ribosomal RNA", at positions 38 to 966 of the family's 3401-position model. Lineage: Eukaryota; Fungi; Ascomycota; Sordariomycetes; Microascales; Microascaceae. The record is from RNAcentral.
GCAUAUCAAUAAGCGGAGGAAAAGAAACCAACAGGGAUUGCCCCAGUAACGGCGAGUGAAGCGGCAACAGCUCAAAUUUGAAAUCUGGUCCCCUCUGGGGGCCCGAGUUGUAAUUUGAAGAGGAUGCUUUUGGCGAGGCGCCUUCCGAGUGCCCUGGAACGGGACGCCACAGAGGGUGAGAGCCCCGUAUGGUAGGACGCCGAGCCUCUGUAAAGCUCCUUCGACGAGUCGAGUAGUUUGGGAAUGCUGCUCAAAAUGGGAGGUAAACCCCUUCUAAAGCUAAAUAUUGGCCAGAGACCGAUAGCGCACAAGUAGAGUGAUCGAAAGAUGAAAAGCACUUUGAAAAGAGAGUUAAACAGCACGUGAAAUUGUUGAAAGGGAAGCGCUUGCGACCAGACUUGCGCCCGUCGGAUCAACCGUCCCUCGUGGGCGGCGCACUCCGGCGGGCUCAGGCCAGCAUCAGUUUUCCCGGGGGGAGAAAGGCGGUGGGAAUGUAGCUCCUCGGAGUGUUAUAGCCCGCCGCGUAAUGCCCUCGGGGGGACUGAGGACCGCGCGUAUGCAAGGAUGCUGGCGUAAUGGUCGUCAGCGACCCGUCUUGAAACACGGACCAAGGAGUCGUCCUAAUAUGCGAGUGUACGGGUGUAAAACCCCUGCGCGUAAUGAAAGUGAACGGAGGUGAGAGCUUCGGCGCAUCAUCGACCGAUCCUGAUGUUCUCGGAUGGAUUUGAGUAAGAGCAUAUUGGGCCGGACCCGAAAGAAGGUGAACUAUGCCUGUAUAGGGUGAAGCCAGAGGAAACUCUGGUGGAGGCUCGCAGCGGUUCUGACGUGCAAAUCGAUCGUCAAAUAUGGGCAUGGGGGCGAAAGACUAAUCGAACCUUCUAGUAGCUGGUUUCCGCCGAAG